Small nuclear RNA from Leopardus geoffroyi (Geoffroy's cat), 105 nucleotides. NCBI's taxonomy places the organism in Eukaryota, Metazoa, Chordata, Mammalia, Carnivora, Felidae. The record is from RefSeq and is a predicted model, not a curated record.
GUGCUCGCUUCGGCAGCACAUAUACUAAAAUUGGAACGAUACAGAGAAGAUUAGCAUGGCCCCUGUGCAAGGAUGACACGUAAACUACAUGACUACCACAGUUUA